UACUAUUGAAUCAGAAACAUCUAAACCAGCUCUGGGUGAUAAUUCAGUGGGCUGUGAACCAACACUGCAUGGAAACAGCACUAACAUGAACACACAAGAGAAAACAGUGCUCGGUUUGGGAACGGCUUUGGUUUGUGUGCACUUCUGAUUUUCUGUCUCAUUUAUUUCAUACUGAGGAGAAGAAAAUGGGAUAAAAGUAAGUGUUUCUGUGAUCAGAUAAAAAUUCCAGUGACUUUUAUUCCUAUCAAAGACACUAAUGUGUGUUUCUGUAUUAAUAGUAAACGCUUCUGUAGAAAAUUCUCCAGGAAUGAAUCAGGAAUCUGAAGCUGAAACACUGAAUUAUGCAGCUGUGCAUUUCUCUAAGAGGAAACCCAAAGCUGAAACAAAGAAAUCUGGUUCAUCAGAUGAGUGUGUGUACGCUGAUGUGAAGAAAACUGCACGCUGUAACAUAAAUGAUUCAUAAUAAAUGGGGAAACACACGGCAGAAGCAGUGAAAAUGUUUUAGAAGGUUAAAUAUCUCGACUGUGUAUUAAUUUAUUUCAUAUUUUUCAUGACAAGCUUUUAAUCACUCAAAGAUUAUUAAACUAUUGUUAAAUAUUUUUGCUCGUUUCAGCUGGACAGAUAAUUGAUCUGCUGACUGAUGAACGGAUUUCUAGAAGCAAAAUGACUGUAUUUGGUGAAAGUACAAAAAGAAAAGAAAAAACAACAUCAGCAACAACAAAAGCUGAUAAUAUUUAAAUUUGUUCACAAUAAUUGCAUAAUUAUACAUAUUAAAUAAAUUUGCCC
Neoarius graeffei (lesser salmon catfish) is the source of this 786-nucleotide long non-coding RNA. RefSeq lists it as uncharacterized. The transcript has 3 exons. The record is from RefSeq and is a predicted model, not a curated record. NCBI's taxonomy places the organism in Eukaryota, Metazoa, Chordata, Actinopteri, Siluriformes, Ariidae.